RNAcentral lists this ribosomal RNA (875 nucleotides) under uncultured crenarchaeote. Its description in RNAcentral is "bacterial SSU rRNA". It matches the Rfam family "Archaeal small subunit ribosomal RNA", at positions 21 to 903 of the family's 1478-position model. The record is from RNAcentral. Lineage: Archaea; Thermoproteati; Thermoproteota.
CCUGACUGCUAUCGGAUUGAUACUAAGCCAUGCGAGUCAUUGUAGCAAUACAAGGCAUACGGCUCAGUAACGCGUAGUCAACCUAACCUAUGGACGGGAAUAACCUCGGGAAACUGAGAAUAAUGCCCGAUAGAACAUUAUACCUGGAAUGGUUUAUGUUCCAAAUGAUUUAUCGCCGUAGGAUGGGACUGCGGCCUAUCAGUUUGUUGGUGAGGUAAUGGCCCACCAAGACUAUUACAGGUACGGGCUCUGAGAGGAGUAGCCCGGAGAUGGGUACUGAGACACGGACCCAGGCCCUAUGGGGCGCAGCAGGCGAGAAAACUUUGCAAUGUGCGAAAGCACGACAAGGUUAAUCCGAGUGAUUUCUGCUAAAGAAAUCUUUUGUUAGUCCUAGAAACACUAACGAAUAAGGGGUGGGCAAGUUCUGGUGUCAGCCGCCGCGGUAAAACCAGCACCUCAAGUGGUCAGGAUGAUUAUUGGGCCUAAAGCAUCCGUAGCCGGCUCUGUAAGUUUUCGGUUAAAUCUGUACGCUUAACGUACAGGCCGCCGGGAAUACUGCAAAGCUAGGGAGUGGGAGAAGUAGACGGUACUCGGUAGGAAGUGGUAAAAUGCUUUGAUCUAUCGAUGACCACCUGUGGCGAAGGCGGUCUACUAGAACACGUCCGACGGUGAGGGAUGAAAGCUGGGGGAGCAAACCGGAUUAGAUACCCGGGUAGUCCCAGCUGUAAACUAUGCAAACUCAGUGAUGCAUUGGCUUGUGGCCAAUGCAGUGCUGCAGGGAAGCCGUUAAGUUUGCCGCCUGGGAAGUACGUACGCAAGUAUGAAACUUAAAGGAAUUGGCGGGGGAGCACCACAAGGGGUGAAGCCUGCGGUUC